GUGCCAGCAGCCGCGGUAACACGUAGGGGGCGAGCGUUGUCCGGAUUUAUUGGGCGUAAAGAGCUCGUAGGCGGUUCGAUAAGUCGGGUGUGAAAACUCUGGGCUCAACUCAGAGACGCCACCCGAUACUGUUGUGACUUGAGUCCGGUAGGGGAGUAUGGAAUUCCCGGUGUAGCGGUGAAAUGCGCAGAUAUCGGGAGGAACACCAGUGGCGAAGGCGGUACUCUGGGCCGGAACUGACGCUGAGGAGCGAAAGCGUGGGUAGCGAACAGGAUUAGAAACCCCCGUAGUCC
RNAcentral lists this ribosomal RNA (293 nucleotides) under uncultured bacterium. RNAcentral describes it as "partial 16S ribosomal RNA". It matches the Rfam family "Bacterial small subunit ribosomal RNA", at positions 505 to 796 of the family's 1533-position model. The record is from RNAcentral.